UUCAAUUGCGGACCAUUGUUCUUCUGCAGAAGAAACGCUAAACAUGGACAACGAUCACUCUGAAGCGGUUCAGAAUGCCACUGCCCGGCAAGAGAAUUCGGAACUCAAACGACGUGGAGGGAAACUCCAAACACCGAAGUACGACUAACACCACACAUCGGCCUACCGCAGGCGAGGGAGUACGGAACCGGGUAAUCGAAAGGGGAGGCUCCAACGGCGAUUCACGUGAGCAGAGUGCUUUCGAACGAUAUAGAAGGCAGAAAAUCGUCGACAAACCGGUAGCGAAAACGAACAAAAAGACCAACACAGGUCUAUAAAGAAGCGGUCUUCACCAUCCCGUCGCGCCAGGACAUAGACUGGUAUCGGGCCAUAGAAAAGUCAUCAACACGGCAGAUCGUUUCCUGAAUAAGAGGAGCUGCGGCCUCGGGUCGAGGGCCCAAAAAGCCGGGUUGGCGGAGGUCAACGCUUACGGCCACCAUUCGGCGCAAUGGAGCAACGACUGUACGGUGCAGUAUUGCAGAACACACAAUGCUGGCGUCCGGCGAAGGAUAUGGUAACCGUCUGAUGAAACAAGAUACGUUGCAGAGCGGAGCAGAAAGAAAGGACGAGGCAGCCUACGUCAGGCAAGGGAGAUUGGACCCCUAAAUCCAAGUAGGGACACACCAAAGACCACGUACGGAAAGCGUCAUCGGAGACCAAGGCCUACAACCAUUAUCCGGCGGAAAGAAGUGAUGACGAGAAGCAGCGCGUGGAAGCACCGUCUUGAACCCAGAUGAGACUGCCAUGGACAGAGGCCAAUCAAAAUCGCCAUUGUUACAAAGCUAUGAAAACAGGAAAUCCUGCGGACAAAAAAGAAAAAAUCCACAUAGUGGCAACACCGUUAGCCGAUCGGGACAAAUCGUGCAGGCGAGUUUGGUGAGCAAUAACAACUUCAAAGUCUACCUCCCAACAUCGACCAUUAGCUAUGGGCAACACCAGCCACAACAUCACCCCGUGAGAAAACAAGACACGAAAGUAUCCACCACCGACCUGGAUUGGUGACGUUGCAUUCAAGCAUAGUCCAGAGAUAGUAAACAUACGCCAAAACAUCCAAACACAUCGGUUGUCUUUAGGGGGUCGCCAUGAAAUUCCACCUGAAAGUAACGUGACCGGGGGCGCGGUAAAACUCCUUACAUGGGCUCAUGGCGAUUCUAGGGGAGCAAAUGCCUCUUUUCUCUAGGCCAGACAAUUAGAUACAACCAACCAAAUUAUCCAGUUUGUAAAUACCUUCUUGUUUAGUGUUUAAUCCACUUAGUUUAGCGAAAUAACUAAGCACGAUUAAGUUGAAUGUCUGCCACAGCGGAGAGAAGUUAAGAGAAGAAGGAUAAGGAGCUCAGUCGGAGACAUUUUGCCAGAACUUAGCUGGCACGCUGUUAAAUUUUCCAGAAUUAGCUGGUAGUUUCUGUAGGAUUUGUUGAGCAUUUGUUGUAUUCAGUCGCUGUUACGGCUUAGGCCAAAUAACUAGAUCUUGAAUCUAGGGUUUCGUUGACAGUAUCCCGUCUCUGACCGACUUCGUUAAAGGAAGUUGAAGAGUUUUUCAUGAGUCGAGUAGUUCUCGCUCAUGAAAAACUCUGCCGUUGUGGUAAUGUUAUGUUACGUUUACGUUAGCCGUAAAGUAAGAAAUUGUUCAGUACUUUAAGGAUUAGGCAAUAAGUUAAGAACGUGCUCCACAAUUAGAUAGUUGAGCACCCCUGCCAGACGCCUGCACUCCGCCGCUCGCCAGUCAGUCAGAGUAACCACAUAAGCACCACCAGCGGGUGUACACACAGGCAUACGCUGAGCGAACCACAUGCCAAUCGAGCAGCACAUGAGAGAAAGUACAUAGGAGAAUACUCUCACGUAUCACGCGAGAGCGCGGCGCACCGACUCAAUGCGGCACAAAUACAUACCUCAAUCGGGGCUGAUCAAGUUCGCCUUCGCCUCAGUAGUCAGUAGUCGCCACCCGUCUUUCGAUCGCAUCGGUACUAAUCGACAGCUGGAGCCUUGUUCAUCGCGCGUCCGUCAAAAGAAAAGUUGUCAGGGCUGGAAAAGACAGCCGCCAAAGCAGAAAUAAUUCGUCUCGAAGGUGCGAGCAUUACCAAGAUCUGCAAUUGCAUCAGCAAUUGGAAAUUCGCGACACUAAACAAUCUGAUCUUGUAAGUCUCCUUAAUAUUAGCAUGGCUGCCAAAUGUGCUGACGCUUUCUUUUCCCCGUGUAAUUAGAGGUGCGGUACCGAAGACAAUAGCCGAUACACAAAAGGCGAUUCUGCUGGUGGAACCAGCAGCGGCGUGGCGUGGUCAAUCCACGUGGGGUGAGUGAUUUUUUCGAGAUGGCCGUCACGAGACUGAACAUUACUCUCCCAUUGUGACAGGAAAUAAUUCCGGACGGAUAAGGCAAGCGAUCGCGGGCGCCUUGGUGACAGGCUGCAGAUACGGACCGGAAGCGAAUAGAUUGCAUGGUGAGUGAUGUCAUCUCAAGUUUCGUUUGGUGUAAUGCUGACCUUGAUCGUUUAGUGCAGGAAAGUUGCAUCUCAACGCACAAACUACAGUGCCACACUCGGACGCAUCGCGUACACACGCACACACGGAAAACCCCAUAUUGGGGUUUUUUUCUUGUGUGUGUUGCAGAUCACGAUUGUCGCACGACGCAACACCGGUGCAUCGGCGCAACAACACCUCUCGUCGCGAGAAUCAUUCCGAUCCUGGUCGAUGCAGCCAUAGUGGACUCUUUCUCGUGAUCGGCACACGAGAUCUUGGGAUUUUCCGGUCGGCCGCGCAUUCGAGGACGAGAACAAGCGGGAAAGGAGUGCAGACCAAACGGAGCUGGAGGAUAACCGAUCCGCGAGUGAGGUAGAAGCCACCGUGCGACAGCCAGAGAGUGAACCCGUCGUUGCGAAUGUCCAUACACGAACGGUGGGCGUGAGAAGCGGCAGGCUGGUCCGGUGCGGAAGACCGGUUGGUGGUGAGAGGACCACGAUACUCCAGAACAGCGCGCAGGAGAAGGUAUCAGCGGCCACGGUGGAGAGAUGCAGAGGGUAUGAAGGCGGUCUGGCUGGCAUAGGGGGAUCGUGAGUACUCAUGAUAGACUAGCUUUAAGGUUACAACAUGUGUGUACAUUAAGUGCAAUAGUACAGGGCACGAAGAUAGGAGAAUGACCCAAAGGGGUGAUAGAUCAAUUGAUUGUCCGUAAAUAAACAAUGUAACGUAAACGGUAUUUGGUUUGUGUGCGCUAUUAUUUUGGCUUCCGGGUCUGAUCGAGGCUAGCCUUAUUCCCCUCGACAGUCUUCCACAACAGGGUGUAUGCGAAAAUAGUUCAAAAAUAUUCUAAAAGCUGUACAGCAAAAACGGAUUGUUCGAUUGUUAUGAAUUUUUCAGCAAAGUUAGAUAACUAAAUGAUGAUUCCUUAGAAAAUAUACACUGUAAAAAAUUUCUUUUUUUACUAUAAAAAAAUAUGAUCUUUGUCACAAAAACUCAAAUAUCUCAGAACCCUAUCUUUUUACCAACGUCAAUUUUUUAGGGAAAAUGGCCCAUUAUAUCAGCUAUCUACCAUAAAAUUUUGGUGAUGGUAAACUGAUAAACAAAAAAGUUAUGACAUUUCAAACAUUUCACAAUUUUUACAUUUAGUAACAAAAAAAAAAAUUUUCUGUGUAAAUUAUUUCGAGAACUAUAUUUUGAUGCUGAUUUUAUUGUAAAGGCUACCGCAUGAAUUAAACAAGUUGUUUUCAUGAUAUUUUUGUUUGAUUAUUUAUAAUUACUAUAGUAUCUAUUUGAACCUUACACGCGAUCCAGUGUUGUGAUCAAAAAUAUUGAGAUUGUCAUACUUUUUAUUGUACGUGACUGGUGAAAAAAUCCCUUGAUAGUGUUGAAAAGCUGUUGAUCAUAAGAAAAAUGGAAUUAAACUUAUUUUGAAGACGAAAGCUGCAUAAUAAAAGUUUUAUAUAUACGCGUAUACGUCUAGUUGAUCUGCAAAAAAAUACCUCUUAGGGUCGAUUUCUUCACCCUGGCUUAGGCGUUAAGCCAGGUUUAACUAUAUGGGUAAGCCUGGCUUACGGGUUAAGCCGAGGUGAAGAAAUCGGCCCUUAGAGAACAGACUUUAUGAUCGGAAAAAUGCGAGUAACUUCAACAACAACAAAUGCAUGAGAGGUACAUACCACAGACAAACAGACAAAACGCCUAGAACAAUUUUCGUGAAAAUCCAUCGCCCAGUUCACACUACCACCACCUGGUGGAAAUGUAUCUCGAAACACUGCGUUGUGCAAUAUCGUCAUCAGAAGGCGCUAGUGUGAAACGUCAAACGCAAAGAAAAACGAUGGGCACUCUUCUGGUUAUGAAAGCCACAACCAAGAUUCAAAAUGAUCGUUAAAGGCGUGGUCAAUGAAAAUUUCGUCAGUGUUACGUUUGUUUGUCUGUAUACUAGGGUGGCCCACACUUAUAUGAAAAGCAAAAAUUUCGAAAAAUGCUAAGUCUUACCUCCUAAAUAAGUUGUUUAGGACUCCCAUAAGCUACGUUCAAAAUUUGAGUAAAAUCGGUUGAGCCUAAGGGGGCGCUCAAAACGCUUGAAGUUUAUAUGGGAAAACUUGGCCAAAUGUAGAAAUUUUAAGUUUUCUAAUUUUGCCGCUAGGUGGCGCUGUAAGCGUUCAAUAAUCAAACCCUUUGGUAUUAUUGUAGGUGACUAUAUGCCAAACAACUUUGUCGAAGACCGCAAAGUGAUCCGACGCCUGUGAAAAAAGUGAGGCCCUAGGCAAAGUGAGGCAAAGUAGUGAGAUUUCAUUAUUGAUAUUAUUCUUUUACAUGUAUUGGAAAAACAACAAUAAAGUUUAUCCUCACUUUACCAAGGGUAUAACUUUUUUCACAGAAGUUGGAUCACUUUGCGGUCUUCGACAAAGUUGUUUGGCAUAUAGUCACCUACAAUAAGACCAAAGGGUUUGAUUAUUGAACGCUUACAGCGCCACCUGGCGGCAAAAUUCGAAAACUUAAAAUUUCUGCAUACAUUUGGCCAAGUUUUCCCAUACAAACUUCAAGCGUUUUGAGCGCCCCCUUAGGCUCAACCGAUUUUGCUCAAAUUUUGAACGUAGCUUCUGGGACUCCAAAACAACUGAUUUAGAAGGUAAGACUUGGUAUUUUUCGAAAUUUUUGUUUUUCAUAUAAGUGUGGGCCACCUUACUGUAUACAUAUGUACCAUGAAAAUGCUCACGAAAAAGCAAAAAAAUACUACCGCUAUGGAUAUUAAAAAUUUUAUAGUAAAUUUUUUCUUCGUCCAAGCAAACAACACCAAACUAGUCAGUUAAAACUAAUAAGUGAUUUUGUUUAUUAUAAUCUAACGAACAACAUGAACAGUCGCUUUCUCAAAGGUCUUCAACUCAACGCUCUCUUGUAGA
This is a long non-coding RNA of Aedes albopictus (Asian tiger mosquito), 5395 nucleotides long. RefSeq lists it as uncharacterized. NCBI's taxonomy places the organism in Eukaryota, Metazoa, Arthropoda, Insecta, Diptera, Culicidae. The transcript has 2 exons. The record is from RefSeq and is a predicted model, not a curated record.